RNAcentral lists this long non-coding RNA (1416 nucleotides) under Heterocephalus glaber (naked mole-rat). Its description in RNAcentral is "lncRNA (ENSHGLG00100040158.1)". The record is from RNAcentral. Lineage: Eukaryota; Metazoa; Chordata; Mammalia; Rodentia; Bathyergidae.
CUUCAAUCCCGAAGCUGUCACCAGCUACUGACUCAGCUAUUUCAAGUUUCAUCAGUGCCUUCCCUCUUCCAAGUUAAAAUACUAACUGGCCAGGACAAUUAUCUGGAAUGUGGAGGUGAUGUUGUCAUUACAGCUUUGCCCUCCUGAUCUUGCCAAACUUCUUACAGAUUCAGCCUUUUGUCCUGGCUCCAAGUUUUUGCAUACCAAGCUCCUUCCUCCUGAAAAGGGUUAUGCAAAUGCCUCUCCCUUGAGGAGCCUUCUCUGUACUCACAUAUACCAAGAGACACGCUGCCCCACCUACGAACCCCUAUUUCCCAGGAAUUAUGGUGCCAAUUUGUGCACCAUAUGGUGUUCACCAAUAUAAGCCUCCUGAGAGGAGGGCCUGCCAUACUUAAGUGUUUGAUGAACGAAUGAAAAGACAUGCUUUAAAUUCUACAUAUCUCCCCAACUUUCCCUCUGCCUUCACACACGUAUGUAUGAAACUCAACCUGAAGGACUCUGGACUCCCCCCAACCUACAGCUGCCAUCGCCAGCACCAGAGGCUGGUGGUUUGGAUGGGUUGGGUUGGAACUGGAGGUGGGCGCACGUCUGUCUGGCUCAGAACUUGAGUCCAUAACAAAGAUUCUCAUUAUCGAACUUUGUUCUCAGUGAGGGCAAGUGAGUCAUCACUGCCAGACGAUGACGACCCCUCCAUUGAGAAGGGCUGAGGGAGCUCAGAGCCCCCGGCUGAGGGAUGGGCUCAGAAGCACCCUGGGGCUUGGGGCACUGCCUGGCACAAGCACAGCUGCAGUGCACCCUGCCUGCUCAUCGGCUUGCUUUGAUCCCUGGGCCCUGUGGUCUGUGCAGUGACGGGGUGGACCCACUCUGUGACUAUUCCUGCAGCCCGAUGCCUCUUCGGGUGAUUUCUCUGUCAGCUCUCCACUCACAGAACCUAACUGUUCAGAUUUCUGUCCCUUUCCCCCUAUCUAACUCUUCCUUAGCCUUGUCUUCUGCAAAGCCUUCCUUCUGGGACACUGGGGAGGGCAAGGGGCCCCUCUCAUGUGGGUAACACUGCUCCUCCACACCAGACUGUGGGCAGCAGGCAGGGAUCAGAUCUUAGUCAACUCUGUGCUGCCCAGUGCUUGGCACAGAGCAGCAAUUUGUUUAAUACAUGAUAACAGAAUGAGUAAACCAGGGAGCGGAACACAGGUUGGAUGAAAGUUUUUGUUUGGUGUGAUGUAAAGUUUAGAUUGAGGAAAAUGGCAACAUAUUAGCAUUUUACCUGCUUCAAUUAUUGGUAAGGAAAGCACCCACCUUGUAUAACUGCAACUAUUAACGGCUAAGUUAAUAAAAGUUAGUAAAAGUAAGUUAAUAAGUUAGUAAAAGUGAAUCUACUGGGUUUUUUUUAACACAAGACACUUGACCCACUACAAAUUU